AGUGAACGCUGGCGGCAUGCUUUACACAUGCAAGUCGAACGGUAACAGGGACUUCGGUCUGCUGACGAGUGGCGAACGGGUGAGUAACAUAUCGGAACGUGCCCAGUAAUGGGGGAGUAGCUCGGCGAAAGACCGGAUUAAUACCGCAUACGCCCUCGAGGGGGAAAGGUAGGGGAGUCUUCGGACCUCACGUUAUUGGAGCGGCCGAUAUCGGAUUAGCUAGUUGGUGGGGUAAAGGCCGUACCAAGGCGACGAUCCGUAGCUGGUCUGAGAGGAUGAUCAGCCACACUGGGACUGAGACACGGCCCAGACUCCUACGGGAGGCGAGCAGUGGGGAA
This 338-nucleotide ribosomal RNA is filed under the name uncultured bacterium. RNAcentral's name for it is "bacterial SSU rRNA". It matches the Rfam family "Bacterial small subunit ribosomal RNA", at positions 29 to 361 of the family's 1533-position model. The record is from RNAcentral.